ACGGUUAUAAAUCAACAUAUUGAUUUAUAAGCAUGGAAAUCCCCUGAGUGAAACAACGAAUUGCUGUGUGUAGUCUUUGCCCAUCUCCCACGAUGGGCUUUUUUUUGU
Molecule: non-coding RNA, 108 nt
Filed under: Escherichia coli
Lineage: Bacteria; Pseudomonadati; Pseudomonadota; Gammaproteobacteria; Enterobacterales; Enterobacteriaceae
Also listed under: 28 other names
Description: antisense sRNA RprA
Rfam family: RprA RNA
About the family: Translational regulation of the stationary phase sigma factor RpoS is mediated by the formation of a double-stranded RNA stem-loop structure in the upstream region of the rpoS messenger RNA, occluding the translation initiation site. Clones carrying rprA (RpoS regulator RNA A) increased the translation of RpoS.
Source: RNAcentral